This is a long non-coding RNA of Haliotis rubra (blacklip abalone), 481 nucleotides long. RefSeq lists it as uncharacterized. The record is from RefSeq and is a predicted model, not a curated record. The transcript has 2 exons. NCBI's taxonomy places the organism in Eukaryota, Metazoa, Mollusca, Gastropoda, Lepetellida, Haliotidae.
AUGCGCUGAAUGACGAACAAAUAACAUAGCUAUCGAUUACACGUGGAGCACGUGGACUGGAGAGCUGAAGGAAAAGACCAAGUGCCCGACAAACAAACGCAGCCUGUUACUCGUAAACACACAGGGGGUUAACAUACCUCCGCGGCGGAGACACAUGUACGGUUAAGGGGAGUUGUUAAGUUGGACCGGCGGGAUAGUAUGCUCUAAAUGUCCAUCAAAGACUGCAGACACUGUGUGACCAAACAGCUCUGAAACAAGCCGACAUAACUGUAAUCCUUCCGUAGUGAGUGAAUACUGCGUUCUGCCGCUGUCUGUAUCAUUCAAGCCAUGACGGUCUAGAGAGAUGAGACUUGAAGGCCUCACCCACACCACCCUGACUAUGUGUGUGUGACUAUUUCUCACUUAAACGCAGAAUUUCUGCACAAUAAUAUAUGUUGUGGUCGUAUAAUGAUGCUGUCCAGAAUGAAGAGAGUCCACAUUA